UAAUACGUAGGUGGCAAGCGUUGUCCGGAAUUAUUGGGCGUAAAGCGCGCGCAGGCGGCUUCUUAAGUCUGAUGUGAAAGCCCACGGCUCAACCGUGGAGGGUCAUUGGAAACUGGGAGGCUUGAGUGCAGAAGAGGAGAGCGGAAUUCCACGUGUAGCGGUGAAAUGCGUAGAGAUGUGGAGGAACACCAGUGGCGAAGGCGGCUCUCUGGUCUGUAACUGACGCUGAGGCGCGAAAGCGUGGGUAGCGAACAGGAUUAGAUACCCUGGUAGUCCACGCCGUAAACGAUGAGUGCUAAGUGUUAGGGGGUUUCCGCCCCUUAGUGCUGCAGCAAACGCAUUAAGCACUCCGCCUGGGGAGUACGGCCGCAAGGCUGAA
RNAcentral lists this ribosomal RNA (379 nucleotides) under uncultured bacterium. RNAcentral's name for it is "bacterial SSU rRNA". It matches the Rfam family "Bacterial small subunit ribosomal RNA", at positions 521 to 898 of the family's 1533-position model. The record is from RNAcentral.